UGGGAUAUGCUCUAUGGUACAGCACUUGGUUAGCACAUAGGAGGCCCUAGGUUCAAUCCCUAGUACUGCAA
This 71-nucleotide transfer RNA is filed under the name Marmota monax (woodchuck). RNAcentral's name for it is "tRNA.Ala". The record is from RNAcentral. Lineage: Eukaryota; Metazoa; Chordata; Mammalia; Rodentia; Sciuridae.